AAAUGCUAUGAAAUUGUCAGAAAGAUAAGAAAACAGAAAAUUGCUGAUCAUUGAGCUGAAAUCCAUCAAGAUGAGAACUACAUUUCUAAUUCUCCUUGUGUUAGGAGAAGCUUUUUCUUGGAGAAUUGAGUUGGGUGACGAUAAUUCCUGUGUUGGAAGAUGUGGAGACUCGUUGGAUACUAGUAAACCCUGUCAAU
This is a long non-coding RNA of Eurytemora carolleeae, 197 nucleotides long. RefSeq lists it as uncharacterized. The transcript has 3 exons. Lineage: Eukaryota; Metazoa; Arthropoda; Copepoda; Calanoida; Temoridae. The record is from RefSeq and is a predicted model, not a curated record.